UGGGGCGUCGCCAAGUGGUAAGGCAGCGGGUUUUGGUUCCGCCAUUCGCAGGUUCGAGUCCUUCCGCCCCAG
This 72-nucleotide transfer RNA is filed under the name Golenkinia longispicula. RNAcentral describes it as "tRNA-Gln". It matches the Rfam family "tRNA". From Rfam's summary of the family: Transfer RNA (tRNA) molecules are approximately 80 nucleotides in length. Their secondary structure includes four short double-helical elements and three loops (D, anti-codon, and T loops). Further hydrogen bonds mediate the characteristic L-shaped molecular structure. tRNAs have two regions of fundamental functional importance: the anti-codon, which is responsible for specific mRNA codon recognition, and the 3' end, to which the tRNAs corresponding amino acid is attached (by aminoacyl-tRNA synthetases). tRNAs cope with the degeneracy of the genetic code in two manners: having more than one tRNA (with a specific anti-codon) for a particular amino acid; and 'wobble' base-pairing, i.e. permitting non-standard base-pairing at the 3rd anti-codon position. Lineage: Eukaryota; Viridiplantae; Chlorophyta; Chlorophyceae; Chlamydomonadales; Golenkiniaceae. The record is from RNAcentral.